AGGGAAGUGACAACCCUCAAGUGUCCAAGUUCAGAGGGAGCUCAUGGGUCCCAAGGCAAGGCUCACAAGAGGAAGGCAUAACUUAAGUCUAAGAGAGAGUGCAAGUGAAGAAACAGAGUUCUGAGGGAAUAAAUGAGAGAGAAAGGUGUGCUGGGAAACAACCAUAAACAAGUUGAUAGUUUCAUACAAAAGGGGUUCAGGUUUGGGAAAUUGCAAAGAACCUAUGUACUUAGGCAAGGGUCGACUUUAGGCAUGCAAAACAAUAGAAGAUGAUGGCAUGCCCGUAAGCCCACCAGAACACACAAUACUAGAGAAUACAUAGAGGUUAUGAUCCCAGGGGAAUAAAAUUUGAGUCAUGGAUAACAUUGCUCAAUACUAUCACGCUUCAAACAAACCAUCAAUAUCAAACACAUUGGGGUAGGGGUUUAGGAUACUUAAUACAUAGAUUCAGAAAAGGAAGAAAGAAAUUACAGCAUGCUAGAGCAAAGUACUGAAUUAAACACAAGCAGUAGACAGACUAGAAGGCAAAAGUAUAAGUGAACAUGUUGUUGUGAUGCUAAAAUUUUAAUCAAAACAUACCAGUUCAAAGAAGGAAAGUACAGUGAAGAUAAGGUAGCAGGAUUUUGAAAUAUAGCUUUGGCUUUCAGCCGGCUAAACAGGUCAUAGUAGAAAUAGUAAAGCAGGAGAGAAUGUUUUGAGUAUGAGAGAUUUUUUUUAGAACUAAGCUUGUUCCCCCUCUAUGCUAAUGAAAGAGUGAGGUACUUAUAGUUUGAAAAUAGGUAAAAAAUAAGGCAAGAAUCAUAGUUAGUGGUAAUUAUGGAACUAUGUAUCAAUUAAAAUCAAAUCAGUAAAAGUACUUUCUUUAAUUAAGGAGUUAAAUCAACCAACGUUAAUGGACAGAAAACAAUUAAGGAAAGAAACCAAGUAGAACAUCAUGUACAGAAUUGACAAUUAGGCGUAGGUACAUAGGGGUCCAAUUAAGGAACCAUUUAAUGAAGAAUCAGUAAAAAUACCCGGUAAACCAUUUGCAAAAUAUGGAGACAAUCAGCUCCCAGUAAAUCAAGGUGUCAAGGGUUUGAAAUUACUUAUUUACGGAGAAUCAUACGAGUUCCCAAGAAUAAGCAAAUAAACCAAGUUAAAAAUAGGAAAAUCAAAGUCUAAGGAAGGUUUUCAAAUCAGGCCCAGAAACAAGGAAACUCAGAAUCAAAUAAGAGAGAAUUAUGAGUCCUGUUUUAGCAUAUAAAUUGAGUGCAGAAACAUAAGGCAUGUGAGGCUAAACUAUGGCAAAGAGAAGAAGCAUGCGAAUAUUCACAAAGUCAGUAGAUAGUGAGACAUGGUAGUCACAUAGGUCCACUUAGUAACAGAGAUAAAGGGUAUCAGAAACAUGCAAAGGGUCAAGUAAGAAAGUAUAGUCUAGUUUCAAUGAUUGAAAAAACUCAAAUCACAUAGAGAAACAGGAGUUGAAAUAAAAAGGGCUUUGAAUCCAGUCGAGCAACUUCAAAUAGAUAAAGCAGUUUUUAGAAGCUCGAAUAGGCCCAAAGAAAUUAGGGUUUUGAAAUCCAUCAAAUCUAGAGAUGAUGAACAAGUAAAUCGUACAGCAGAUAGUCUCAGAACUUCAGCGAGCCCAAAAUUUUAGGGGUUUUCAACAUCAAUCGAGUCUAGUGUUAAAAAAUAGGUAAAUCGGACAAAUGCUAAUAUAAAACAUAUUCAGAAAUCUCAAAAAAAACUAAUACUCCUAACAUGCAAACUCCAGUAAAGAACGACAUAAGGAAACACAGUAGAACAUACUGAAAAUCAAAGAAAGCUACGAAAUAGCUUAACAAAAACCAAAACCGAAAAAGAUAAAUGGGUUUCGAAGGUAGAGUUUGAAAGAACCUUGAGAAAAUUGUUUAGAAGUGUCGAGCAAACACAAAUCUGAAACAGACCUAAAAGAAAUCAGAAGAACCUCAAAGGUGAGGGUUUCAGGAGAACCCUCGACGGUGAGAAAGGCUUGGAAGAUCAUCGAUCUAAGCAGGAAAAGUCAAGAAUCAAAUUUGAAUAGCCAUGGCUGGUCGGAGAAAAGUCAAAGAUGACUAGAGACAACCAUAGAACUGAGAUCGACCAAGGUCUGGACCAAGAUUUUCCAAGACUCAACCUUGAAAUCAUAAUAAUCGAGCACGUAGAAGCCAAGGGAGGUAGAUACAGGCCUCCAAUGGCUUUGGAAGCCAUUGGUUUGGGCGGUUUUAGGGUGGUAGUUGGGGGUGGCAGCUAGGGUUUGAGAGAGAAUUGAGAGAGAAAGAGAUUCAUAGGCGGC
RNAcentral lists this long non-coding RNA (2293 nucleotides) under Nicotiana benthamiana. Its description in RNAcentral is "long non-coding RNA (NBEN_LNC034633)". Lineage: Eukaryota; Viridiplantae; Streptophyta; Magnoliopsida; Solanales; Solanaceae. The record is from RNAcentral.